RNAcentral lists this ribosomal RNA (393 nucleotides) under uncultured bacterium. Its description in RNAcentral is "partial 16S ribosomal RNA". It matches the Rfam family "Bacterial small subunit ribosomal RNA", at positions 523 to 918 of the family's 1533-position model. The record is from RNAcentral.
AUACGGAGGAUCCGAGCGUUAUCCGGAUUUAUUGGGUUUAAAGGGUGCGCAGGCGGGAGAUUAAGUCGGCGGUGAAAUUUUGCAGCUCAACUGUAAAAGUGCCUUCGAAACUGGUUUCCUUGAGUGGAGAUGAAGUAGGCGGAAUUUGUGGUGUAGCGGGGAAAUGCAUAGAUAUCACGAGGAACUCCGAUUGCGCAGGCAGCUUACUAAACUACUACUGACGCUCAGGCACGAAGGCGUGGGGAUCAAACAGGAUUAGAUACCCUGGUAGUCCACGCAGUAAACGAUGAUUACUAGCUGUUUGCGAUACAAUGUAAGCGGCUGAGCGAAAGCGUUAAGUAAUCCACCUGGGGAGUACGUUCGCAAGAAUGAAACUCAAAGGAAUUGACGGGG